AUACGUAGGGGGCGAGCGUUGUCCGGAAUAAUUGGGCGUAAAGAGCGCGUAGGCGGCCUUUCAAGUCAGCUGUGAAAUCCCUCGGCUUAACCGGGGAGUUGCAGUUGAAACUGGAGGGCUUGAGUGCAGAAGAGGAGGGUAGAAUUCCUGGUGUAGCGGUGAAAUGCGUAGAUAUCAGGAGGAAUACCGGUGGCGAAGGCGGCCUUCUGGUCUGCUACUGACGCUGAGGCGCGAAAGCUAGGGGAGCGAACAGGAUUAGAUACCCUGGUAGUCCUAGCCGUAAACGCUGGGUACUAGGUGUAGGGGGUUUAGAUACCUUCUGUGCCGCAGUUAACGCAUUAAGUACCCCGCCUGGGGAGUACGGUCGCAAGGUUGAA
Molecule: ribosomal RNA, 377 nt
Filed under: uncultured bacterium
Lineage: Bacteria
Description: bacterial SSU rRNA
Rfam family: Bacterial small subunit ribosomal RNA
Source: RNAcentral